RNAcentral lists this ribosomal RNA (440 nucleotides) under uncultured bacterium. RNAcentral describes it as "partial 16S ribosomal RNA". It matches the Rfam family "Bacterial small subunit ribosomal RNA", at positions 338 to 795 of the family's 1533-position model. The record is from RNAcentral.
CCUACGGGCGGCAGCAGUGGGGGAUAUUGCACAAUGGGGGAAACCCUGAUGCAGCGACGCCGCGUGUGGGAAGACGGUCCUCUGGAUUGUAAACCACUGUCCCCAGGGACGAAGAUGACGGUACCUGGGGAGGAAGCUCCGGCUAACUACGUGCCAGCAGCCGCGGUAAUACGUAGGGAGCGAGCGUUGUCCGGAAUUACUGGGUGUAACGGGAGCGUAGGCGGGACUGCAAGUUGGGUGUCAAAUCUACCGGCUCAACCGGUAGCCGCACUCAAAACUGCAGUUCUUGAGUGAAGUAGAGGCAGGCGGAAUUCCGAGUGUAGCGGUGAAAUGCGUAGAUAUUAGGAGGAACACCAGUGGCGAAGGCGGCCUGCUGGGCUUUUACUGACGCUGAGGCUCGAAAGUGUGGGGAGCAAACAGGAUUAGAUACCCCAGUAGUC